This 467-nucleotide long non-coding RNA is filed under the name Cavia porcellus (domestic guinea pig). RNAcentral describes it as "lncRNA (ENSCPOG00000038784.1)". The record is from RNAcentral. Lineage: Eukaryota; Metazoa; Chordata; Mammalia; Rodentia; Caviidae.
GGUAUCGUGGUGCUUUCUGCCAGGAACUGGCCAGCGUUUAAUUGCCUGUUUUUCCCUACCAGGCUCACUUUCGACCUCCUGGCACUGCGUGGCUGUCAUCUGAGAUGUGAUAGUGAAGAGCAGAGAAGUGGGAAGAGGGAGGUGACAGGGAAGCCACAGGAGGAGGAAAUAAAGGUCAUCAAGUGUGGCGAUGUGCAUGCCAUGGCAGAGAGAAGACAGGCGGUCCAUUUCAGUUUACAGAGCUGCGUUCCAAUACUCUCAGCUGGUCCUGCCCUAUUUCUGACUGCUGCAAACUACAGGCACACAUGUGCCACUUCUCUUCCUGGGAAGGGGUAAGGGACGUCUUGCCUCUUGAUGAGACCCAACACUCGAACAUGGGGAGUAAAGGCAGGGAACCUUUUAUGCCGCCCUCCUGCUUCCGCACAGUGCCUGGCCACGUGGUAGUCCAGCCACUGUUUUUUGAGAUC